UAUUGGCACGAGUGUCGCAGGAUGAUGUGUUUGCUGGAGAUGCCAUUUGAAAAUAUAGGCAGUGUAAGCACUGUAGAAUCUAAUUAUUUCUUUGCAAAACCUAAUUAGGCAUUAAAAAAGGUUAACGCCAGCGCCUGAAACGUUUUUGUUUAAUAAUCCCAUUACUGACGGCUCAUCAUGUAUAAAAUGGUGCAGGAGGACACUAAGUUUCCACUUGUUAAACGGAAUCUCUGAGAAAUAGUCGCACUUUUUUGACACUAUCUGCGUUUGGAAAUUAGGGCUCGUAAUUAAACUGCGGAGACUCAGCACAGCUCAGAAGCUUCCUGGAAGGCUGUGAUUGGCUGCCUGUCUUGGGGUCUGUGAUAGCAGCCCUGGAGCCGAGGAUGAUUGAUGAUGGUGAGGGCAAGGCCGAGCGCUGGCAGCAUAAAGCCCCAUAGACGCCUCAAUAAAGAGCCUGGGCUAGUGGAGAGCCUGGGCCCCCGCUCAAUAGGGCCCCCACCGCCUCUGAGGACCCACGGCUGGAGGAGUGCAUGGAGAGAGAGCGAGAGAGAUAGAAAGAGAGAGAGAGAGAGAGAUAGAGGAGAAGGAGAGGUGCUCUGUUGUUGGAUAAUCCGUUUAGCUAUCGAGCCAGCAGCCGUCUGAGGCUGGAUAAGUGCAGCAACGGAUGUGUGUGGGGUGAAAAUAGCAGGGGUUGGCUGGUGGAGAGCGGGGGGGGGGGGGGGGGGCAGAGGAUAUGAAGCGAGAGUGAAAGAAAAAAACGGAGCCUGCGGAUGCAUUAUGGGAAAAAAAGGGAAGUGUUAUAAACAAACCUGCAGACGAGAUCUGCAAAGCUGCUUUUCACAUUAUGCUGGAAAAGCCAAAAAGUUGAAAAAAGUGAACCUGCACGAUAUGUGUGAGUCCUCUCCUCGUCUUCUUCUUCUCUGGUGGCCGUCCUGACCUUUUCUUCAGCAGAUCAAUGAGACCCUGCCUGGUUGGAUUCCACCGGUGCAGCGUCCCCAGACCGCACGCAGCCCUGUUGUAACCCCGCAGCAGCACAGCAGCUCUGAAAAGCACAAUUAGGCAGCAAUCUGCUCCCACCAAGCCGGCUUUCAGCGACUCCAGCGUGGAUACACGACGUCCUGCAGACCCUCCACGCUGGAAGUUGGCAGGAUGAAGGCCAGAGAGAGAGAGAGAGAGAGAGAGAGAGAGAGAGAGAGCAGCAGAGUGAUGGCCUGAUGGUCGUUUUUCACUCGGCAUGGAAUCACAGAGAUGAAAGAUAU
Molecule: long non-coding RNA, 1259 nt
Organism: Labrus mixtus (cuckoo wrasse)
Lineage: Eukaryota; Metazoa; Chordata; Actinopteri; Labriformes; Labridae
Exons: 2
Source: RefSeq, a predicted model, not a curated record